RNAcentral lists this ribosomal RNA (486 nucleotides) under uncultured bacterium. RNAcentral describes it as "SSU rRNA". It matches the Rfam family "Bacterial small subunit ribosomal RNA", at positions 26 to 518 of the family's 1533-position model. The record is from RNAcentral.
AGAGCGAACGCUGGCGGCGUGCCUAACACAUGCAAGUCGAACGUGAAAUGGGGCAACCCAAAGUAAAGUGGCGUACGGGUGAGUAACACGUAGGUAAUCUACCAAACAAUCUGGAAUAACCGACCGAAAGGUUGGCUAAUACUGGAUAGAGCGACGGAAUCCGUAAUUGGGUUUUUCGGGAAAGGGAGCUCGCAAGAGCCUUCGUUGUUUGAUGAGCCUGCGUCUGAUUAGCUAGUUGGCGGGGUAAUGGCCCACCAAGGCGAUGAUCGGUAGCUGGUCUGAGAGGAUGAUCAGCCACAUUGGGACUGAGACACGGCCCAAACUCCUACGGGAGGCAGCAGUGGGGAAUAUUGGACAAUGGGCGCAAGCCUGAUCCAGCCAUGCCGCGUGAGUGAUGACGGCCUUAGGGUUGUAAAGCUCUUUCGCUAGGGACGAUAAUGACGGUACCUAGACAAGAGCCCCGGCUAACUUCGUGCCAGCAGCCGC